This 47-nucleotide transfer RNA is filed under the name Hemiphyllodactylus yunnanensis (Yunnan dwarf gecko). Its description in RNAcentral is "partial tRNA-Tyr". Lineage: Eukaryota; Metazoa; Chordata; Lepidosauria; Squamata; Gekkonidae. The record is from RNAcentral.
GGCGGCGAAUUGUAGCUUCGUUUACGGGAAAAAGGUCUCCGCUACCA